This is a non-coding RNA of Pantherophis guttatus, 275 nucleotides long. Lineage: Eukaryota; Metazoa; Chordata; Lepidosauria; Squamata; Colubridae. The record is from RefSeq and is a predicted model, not a curated record.
AAAGAUCAUAGUGAACCACAGGAAUUGCUUGGGACUGCAAGUCUGCCUAUCAUGGAACUGGACCACUGAAUAUUCAUUCACAGCAAAUUCAGCUGAGAACAUUGUCUUAGUGGCAACCAUCUCUCAAGGGCCAAUCUUGGUCUGUCAGCCUUGUAAAACCUUAUGUAUCUUCAGGACAUGAUCCCCAAUCUCAACAGGCUGAGUUGCAAAGACGGCCCUGCAUCCAGGUCUCCAUUGCAAUGCUGCUGCUCCUGGUGAAGACUCCUGCAGAUUUC